ACUGAACGCUGGCGGCAUGCCUUACACAUGCAAGUCGAACGGCAGCAUAGGAGCUUGCUCCUGAUGGCGAGUGGCGAACGGGUGAGUAAUAUAUCGGAACGUGCCCUAGAGUGGGGGAUAACUAGUCGAAAGACUAGCUAAUACCGCAUACGAUCUACGGAUGAAAGUGGGGGAUCGCAAGACCUCAUGCUCCUGGAGCGGCCGAUAUCUGAUUAGCUAGUUGGUGGGGUAAAAGCUCACCAAGGCGACGAUCAGUAGCUGGUCUGAGAGGAAGACCAGCCACACUGGGACUGAGACACGGCCCAGACUCCUACGGGAGGCAGCAGUGGGGAAUUUUGGACAAUGGGGGCAACCCUGAUCCAGCAAUGCCGCGUGAGUGAAGAAGGCCUUCGGGUUGUAAAGCUCUUUUGUCAGGGAAGAAACGGUUCUGGAUAAUACCUGGGACUAAUGACGGUACCUGAAGAAUAAGCACCGGCUAACUACGUGCCAGCAGCCGCGGUAA
This 502-nucleotide ribosomal RNA is filed under the name uncultured bacterium. Its description in RNAcentral is "partial 16S ribosomal RNA". It matches the Rfam family "Bacterial small subunit ribosomal RNA", at positions 30 to 523 of the family's 1533-position model. The record is from RNAcentral.